GACGAACGCUGGCGGCGUGCCUAAUACAUGCAAGUAGAACGCUGAAGGAGGAGCUUGCUUCUCUGGAUGAGUUGCGAACGGGUGAGUAACGCGUAGGUAACCUGCCUGGUAGCGGGGGAUAACUAUUGGAAACGAUAGCUAAUACCGCAUAAGAGUAGAUGUUGCAUGACAUUUUCUUAAAAGGUGCAAUUGCGUCACUACCAGAUGGACCUGCGUUGUAUUAGCUAGUUGGUGGGGUAACGGCGCACCAAGGGGAGGAUAGAUAGCCGAGCUGAGAGGGGGAUCGGCCACACUGGGAGUGGAACGCGGCCCAGACUCCUGCGGGAGGCCGCAGAAGGGAAUCGUCGGCAAUGGACGGAAGUCUGACCGAGCGACGCCGCGUGAGUGGAGAAGGUUUUCGGAUCGUAAAGCUCUGUUGUAAGAGGAGAACGGGUGUCGCAGUGGAAAGUGCACACUGUGACGGUAUCUUACCAGAAAGAGACGGCUAACUACGUG
RNAcentral lists this ribosomal RNA (495 nucleotides) under uncultured bacterium. RNAcentral's name for it is "partial 16S ribosomal RNA". It matches the Rfam family "Bacterial small subunit ribosomal RNA", at positions 28 to 507 of the family's 1533-position model. The record is from RNAcentral.